RNAcentral lists this long non-coding RNA (2764 nucleotides) under Sus scrofa (pig). RNAcentral describes it as "lncRNA (ENSSSCG00035042797.1)". The record is from RNAcentral. Lineage: Eukaryota; Metazoa; Chordata; Mammalia; Artiodactyla; Suidae.
AGGGUUAGAUGAGGUCAUGAGAAAAAUCCUCUUUGCUCAUCACCUUUUCCUCCAACUAUGCCUCAAUUCUCAAAUCUGUAUUUAUGUCCAAUAUUUUGUGCUUUAUCCUUUGCAUCUUUACCUAUACAUCAAAUUCACUGCCAAGAACACAUUUGCCCUCUCUCUUCCAUCUGCCUUAAUUCUUCCGACUCUUCAACCCUCAGCUUAGAUGUUAUCUGCUCAAGUCUAUACAGCCAUUGCUGCUGUCAUUAACAUGAGCAUCUUUAACAUCAUUAUUGUAGUCCUGCCAAAGACUGACAGAGGUCCGCCAGUUUAUUAGCCAUUUGCUAGGAGUUCCUAAUACACCAUAGGAUACCUUGCUUUGUCCACAGUUCUUGGAAAGAGAGUGAAAGAAUUGCUUUCUAAGUAGCUAAAAUUCCAACUCUUGUUUAAGUGAUUUAUUUUGAGAACCCCUUUCUGGAAGGCAUAGUGUCCGUUCCAUCUUUACCUAGUUAUUGCCCAUGGCUUCUCCAUUUGUUGUAGUUUCUUUUACAGAGACAGUUAUUAUAUAUAGAUUGAAUCUUCUUUCUUUGCUCAGUGCUAAUAAGGUAGUGGUUUAAGAUUCUUUCAUGAUCAGCUCUCCAACCACUCUAAGCCCUGUCACACCAUUUUCCUGGGAAGAUGCAAUCUGUUGAAUUUUUAUCAGAUCUUUUUUAUCCAGUAGCAAACAAACCACUGCUCUGGGUUGGAAGACUUCAAGAUGUAAAGUAAAAAGCCAGUGGAAAAAAGAUAUGUCUCUCACUAAGUUUAGACUUAUAACCUUGAAAUCAGGAGAUUUAGAUGACCAUGUUUUCUGAAAUGGGCCAGGGAAAGAGAAUAUCAGUCUGCAGAAAGAGAGAUAAGCCAUCAUGGAGAGAUGAGCAAAGGUGAGACCAGGAGUGGGUUCCAGAGGAGUUUGACACUCCAGUUCUAAUCUGGAGGCCCCACUGCAUUGCUGCCCUUGGUUCCAAAAGACUUUCCACUAUUAUUUCAAUAUGAAGGCAACCUAGAGUUGACUUUUUGUCACUGUGACCAUGAAAAUGUGCUCUUAUUUCAUAUUUAUUAAAAUAUGACCUAGGUUUUUUGUUUUUGUUUUUGUUUUUUUUUGCUUUUAUGUUUACAAUUUUCCUUGCAUUUACAAUUCAAAUAUAUUGCGACUUUAAAAUUCCGUGUGCAGGAGUUCCCAUCGCGGCUCAGUGGUUAACGAAUCCAACUAGGAACCAUGGGCUUGUAGGUUCGAUCCCUGGCCUUGCUCAGUGGGUUGCCGUGAGCUGUGGUGUAGGUUGCAGACGCAGCUCGGAUCCCGAGUUGCUAUGGCUCUGGUGUAGGCCAGCGGCUACAGCUCUGAUUCUACCCCUAGCCUGGGAACGUCCAUAUGCUGUGAGUGUGGCCCUAUAAAGUAAAAAAAAAAUAAAUUUUGUGUGCAAAAAGGUAAAUUUAAUAUAAUUUUACUUUGAUUUACCUCUACUCCCUCUUUCUGAUCAUAGUGAAUAUAAUCCGUUGGUAACAGCCAGCAACACUGACACCACUGAAUUAAUUUGGCUUUUAAUAGUUAAAUAUUCUCUUUCAAAAAUCACAUUUUUCUUUUAAGUUUACACAUAUUACCACAUUUACUGGUAAUUAGAUACAUUUCUGUGUGUUCACUGCUAUUUCGCCUUUCUUGCGUUUUAACAUAGUUCAUUGAAUUGAUCGCCAGAGUAUACUGAAUAAGUAUUUCAAGAAUUUUACAUAGUGGUAUGUAAUUUGUAUCUUUAAAUAACUUGAAAUGACAUAUGAGUGAUACCAUGGUAGGUAUAGCGUUUGCUGUCGGUGUCCUCACGCUGUCCAACUACACCCUCAGAGUGUGUAUUCAGCCUGCUUCAGACCCUUUCCAACUGUCAGAGUCUGCAUCUCUGUGCCCAAGGGAUUUUUCCCAAUGCACUGAAAGUUAUUCUUCCCUUGCCUAUGCAGUAGCCUAGGAGUACCAGGGAAUUAACAAUGCCAGAGAGAAGCUCUCCCUCAGUGACUGAUUAAUAUGACAUAGGCUAUGAUGUGUAUUGUAUCUGUUGUGAAGUGAGCACCACAGUAAGUCAAGUAACAUCAAUCACCUUAUAUGAUUACAGAAUUUUGUGGGGUUUUUUUUUUGAUAACUUUUAAGAUCUAUUCUUUCUUAACAUUCAAAUAUGAAAUACGGUACUCUUAACCAGACCAUGCUGUGUAUUACAUCCUCAUGACUUAUUUUGUACCUGAAAGUUUGUACCUUCUUUUGACUCCCUUCACACAUUCCCUUCCCCCCACCUCAUCUCUGGUAGCCAACCAUCUGUUCUAUGUAUCUAGAGUAUGAGCUUGUUUGUUUGUUUUUAGAUUGCACACAUAGGUGAGAUAAUGCAGUAUUUGUCUUUUUCUGCCUGACCUAUUUCACUGAGUGUAAUACUCUUAGUGCUUUUUUCUCUUAAGAUUUGUAGAUCAUGAGUGGAGGGUGAUAACCUGGUACCCCAGCUCAAAGGGAAGGGGCAAUAAAAUAGUGAAGGAGGGGAGUUCCCGUUGUGGCGCAGUGGUUAACGAAUCCGACUAGGAACCAUGAGGUUGCGGGUUCGGUCCCUGCCCUUGCUCAGUGGGUUAACGAUCCGGCAUUGCCGUGAGCUGUGGUGUAGGUUGCAGAUGCGGCUCAGAUCCCGUGUUGCUGUGGCUCUAGCCUAGGCCGGAGACUACAGCUCCGAUUAGACCCCUAGCCUGGGAACCUCCAUAUGCCGUGGGAGCGGCCCAA